RNAcentral lists this unclassified non-coding RNA (176 nucleotides) under uncultured fungus. RNAcentral's name for it is "sequence contains ITS1". Lineage: Eukaryota; Fungi. The record is from RNAcentral.
GAUCCGCGAUACGUCCUGGAAGCCGCCGUGAACCAUCAAUUUUCGAACGCACAUUGCAUACAGGGAGGGUGGGGUGAGUCUACUCUCACAAUCGUGGUUUAAAUACAAAGGAUGACUAAUAAAACCGUCACCCCUCAUUUUCUCCCCCGCCCCCUCAGAUUACCCGCUGAACUUAA